This 2749-nucleotide long non-coding RNA is filed under the name Olea europaea (common olive). RNAcentral describes it as "long non-coding RNA (OEUR_LNC011470)". The record is from RNAcentral. Lineage: Eukaryota; Viridiplantae; Streptophyta; Magnoliopsida; Lamiales; Oleaceae.
AAUUUAAAAAGUACCCCAUCUUCCUCUCAUUGUAUCAAAUUGUGAAACUCUCUCUGCCUCUAGCCGCCAUCAACGUUGAAUUUUCAGGCGAAUCAACGUCGAUUGAGAACUCAUUUUAAGUUUAUAAUCCGCCGUCAGGUAGUUUUUGACCUUCAAUCAACAAUCCUGUUAAUUUACCCAUCUCAAGUCUUGUUAAGUGUGGGAUUUUCGGGGUUUUAUGUUGAUUGCUUGUGGGGUUUGGAGAUGUGAGGUCUGGGCUAAAAAAAGCAUGUAAAGAAAUGGCUGCUUCUGAGGUUUCGACUAUGGGUUACACGAAUCCUGUAACGGUGGAAAAUGGAAUUUCAAGCAUCUGGAAAUGUAAAAAUUUCGGCGAUUAUUUGGAAUUUUUCGAUUUUUUUCUGGCUUCUGAUUUUUGAGUUUAUUUUGUUAGUGGAUGCUGAGACAACGCUGUAUACGGAGCUAUGGAAGGCAUGUACUGGUCCCCUUUAGUUACUGUGCCUCGUGAAAAUGAGCUUGUUUUCUAUUUCCCUCAAGGUCACAUAGAACAUGUUUUUCUUUUUUACUUUACUAUUUCAGAGUGUGUGGAAUGUGGAAUGUCUGUGUAAAAUUUCUUUUCACCCCUCAUAAUAAUUUGAAGUAAUUGCAAGGGCCUUGUUCUUAACUGGUUAUAAAAUUGGAGUUCCACAUCUUCAAAUCAAGAUUUAUUUGUGUGAUCAAUGAUGUAACAAAAUUCGGGCACUCUGUUUUUGUUGUGUUGUUUAAAUUGAUCUCCAAGUUUGUACACGGAUAAUGGAGGUGCCAACGAGAUAAAAAUAUUUACAAUUAUCAAAAAUUUGUAAAUUAACAUAAAUUUUGCUCCUUGCAUUGUGUAUCACCUUUUCAGAUUUCAGCUUCCAUGGUUGUUGGUUUUCAUGUUUGCUCUUAAGUUAAUUAAAUAGUCAUAGCUUUGUGUUUUCAAUUGCUAAGUUUCAAUUAAUCGUCUUCUUUGCAAGAGCUGAGUUAAGAAGAAAGGUAAUGACUUUGAUCACUGCGUGAAUCAUAAGUUGAAAUAAGACAAAUUUGUUCAAGUCAAAUAACAUAACGAAGUGUGCGUGAAGGUUCUUGUUAGAAAUGAUUUAAUUCUAACUUGAAUUAGUUUCAAGGCUCUUGUUAUAAGCUUGGAAUAUAGCAUAAUAAUUUAGCCCUGUUUGGCCCCUAUUAAAUUUCAUUACAUUACAUUCUAUUUUUUUUCCUAUUUUCAACCACACAAUCUUUUAUAAAAUAAUAUUACACGUAAAUCAAAAAAAUUUCCUUCUUUUUCAACCACUCAUUUUUCAAAAAAAAAAAAAAAAAAAAAAAAAAAAAAAAAAUAUGCCACCCAACCACUUAUUUUUCAAAAAAAAAAAAAAAUACUAUUCCACCCAUUUUCAUUUCUAGAAAAUGGGGGCCAAACGGGGGCUUAAUCCAACAAACUGGUAUUUUUAUACAUCUUGCAAUUUUUAUUUUUAUUUUUUUGUAUGUUUAAACAUUAUAUCUCCCGUAAAAUUCUGCUCUAUUUAUAAGUUAAUAGUUUUUGGGUGGUAGUAAAUAAAUUUGUUUGAGCUAGUUUGUUUAGUUUAUUCGUCUUCAACAAAACUUUUUAAAAAAAAAAUUCCGUUUUUCUUUAUUGGGAGGAGGUGUUUUUAAAAACAAGUUAAGCUCCUUGGUUUAACGUUAAUUUGACUUGGAUUGAAAGUUGAAGUUCAAAAAUUGAAUCAGCAAUGCAAAUUAACAGUAAUUUGACUAGGUAUCAUAGAGUGCGUCAAUUUUUAGCUGUUUUUCAUGACAUUUGUUAUCCUUGACAUUGUUUAAUUAGGUUAUUGGAGCAGCGUGUCAUACAUUUUAACAGUGUCACAUACUGGUUGUUUAUUUUUGUGUUGUUCUUUUUGAAAAGAUUUCAUACUUUUUGUUACUACUUUUUUUUUUUAAAAAUUUUUUUUUUUUUUUUUUUUUUUUUUUUUUUUUUUUUUGGGGAUUGUUUUGAUGCCAUCAUGAUGUUAAAUGCUCGAGUUAGAUAUACUGCUUUUGCAUUCUACCCUAGAGACCAUGUCACUGACUCACUGCAUCUUUGAAUUUUUUUAUUCAUUAUAAUGUAGAAGAGUGGAAUGCCAGCCUCUAAUUUUUUUUAACCUUUGUGGAAAUUCUACAUCACAAAACCUUGACCUUUGUUCGUUCAAUUCUCAAUGGUAAGAACAAGGUCAAAUUUUGUAUCAAUGUUGAGAUAACGUUCAAGUUUUAUUCUUGGUUUAUUCGAAAGAAGUGUAAUUGAUGGUUUUGCAUCCAUGCCUGUGAUUGUAAUUCUGGUGAAAGUUUUAGAGGAAAGAGAGUUGUAGUUGUGGGAUGUGGAACUUGAGGCAUGGAAGUGUCUCUUGAUCUUUGCAACCAUGAUGUGAUUUAUAGGUUUUCUUUUUUAGGUUCAUAUAUUGCCAAUGGUUCUUACUUAUUUUUCUUUGCUUUUUUUCGUGAUUAUAAUUGGUACAAAUGUCUAAAAUGUGGUAUCUAUCUUUAUCUCCUUUUUUUAUAGGUCGGGAUCGAUAUUUAAGGCAUAGCUCAGUCGAAGAUUGCUGAGAAGAAAAUUACAGAGGCCGAUAGAGUGGUUUCACAUACUACUUAGCUAGUUUUUUUUUUUUUGGAAAAAUGUAUUGGGUUUUUAGGUGUUUUAGAAUUUUGGAUCUAGAUUUUAUACGAAUAUUGUUACAUUUUAGAGUUCAAUUAAUAAUUAUUAUUGGAG